This 301-nucleotide ribosomal RNA is filed under the name uncultured bacterium. Its description in RNAcentral is "partial 16S ribosomal RNA". It matches the Rfam family "Bacterial small subunit ribosomal RNA", at positions 509 to 808 of the family's 1533-position model. The record is from RNAcentral.
CAGCAGCCGGGUAAUACAGAGGGUGCAAGCGUUAAUCGGAAUUACUGGGCGUAAAGCGCGCGUAGGUGGUUUGUUAAGUUGGAUGUGAAAGCCCCGGGCUAAACCUGGGAACUGCAUCCAAAACUGGCAAGCUAGAGUACGGUAGAGGGUGGUGGAAUUUCCUGUGUAGCGGUGAAAUGCGUAGAUAUAGGAAGGAACACCAGUGGCGAAGGCGACCACCUGGACUGAUACUGACACUGAGGUGCGAAAGCGUGGGGAGCAAACAGGAUUAGAUACCCCGGUAGUCCCUGUCUCUUAUACA